Molecule: ribosomal RNA, 424 nt
Filed under: uncultured bacterium
Lineage: Bacteria
Description: bacterial SSU rRNA
Rfam family: Bacterial small subunit ribosomal RNA
Source: RNAcentral
AGCACUGUAGGUGUCAGCCGCCGCGGUAAUACGUAGGGAGCGAGCGUUGUCCGGAAUUACUGGGUGUAAAGGGAGCGUAGGCGGGACAGCAAGUUGAAUGUGAAAUCUAUGGGCUCAACCCAUAAACUGCGUUCAAAACUGUUGUUCUUGAGUGAAGUAGAGGUAGGCGGAAUUCCUAGUGUAGCGGUGAAAUGCGUAGAUAUUAGGAGGAACACCAGUGGCGAAGGCGGCCUACUGGGCUUUAACUGACGCUGAGGCUCGAAAGCGUGGGUAGCAAACAGGAUUAGAUACCCUGGUAGUCCACGCUGUAAACGAUGAUUGCUAGGUGUGGGGGGGUCUGACCCCUUCCGUGCCGCAGUUAACGCAAUAAGCAAUCCACCUGGGGAGUACGGCCGCAAGGUUGAAACUCAAAUGAAUUGACGGG